AACGAACGCUGGCGGCAUGCCUAACACAUGCAAGUCGAGCGAGACCUUCGGGUCUAGUUGCGCACGGGUGCGUAACGCGUGGGAACCUGCCUUUAGGUUCGGAAUAACUCAGAGAAAUUUGAGCUAAUACCGGAUGAUGUCUUCGGACCAAAGAUUUAUCGCCUUUAGAUGGGCCCGCGUUGGAUUAGCUAGUUGGUGGGGUAAAGGCCUACCAAGGCGACGAUCCAUAGCUGGUCUGAGAGGAUGAUCAGCCACACUGGGACUGAGACACGGCCCAGACUCCUACGGGAGGCAGCAGUGGGGAAUAUUGGACAAUGGGCGAAAGCCUGAUACAGCAAUGCCGCGUGAGUGAUGAAGGCCUUAGGGUUGUAAAGCUCUUUUACACGAGAUGAUAAUGACAGUAUCGGGAGAAUAAGCUCCGGCUAACUACGUG
This 433-nucleotide ribosomal RNA is filed under the name uncultured bacterium. RNAcentral's name for it is "partial 16S ribosomal RNA". It matches the Rfam family "Bacterial small subunit ribosomal RNA", at positions 29 to 507 of the family's 1533-position model. The record is from RNAcentral.